UUAAUAAUGUGGUGGGUCCACCAGUCCCAGGAACAUUGGCUGUGUAACAAAAAUAUGAACACCACACAAGGGUUAAUGGUAUCUGCUAAUAAAUGGGGUA
Long non-coding RNA from Etheostoma cragini (Arkansas darter), 100 nucleotides. RefSeq lists it as uncharacterized. The record is from RefSeq and is a predicted model, not a curated record. Lineage: Eukaryota; Metazoa; Chordata; Actinopteri; Perciformes; Percidae. The transcript is spliced from 3 exons.